UACGAAGGGGGCUAGCGUUGCUCGGAAUCACUGGGCGUAAAGGGUGCGUAGGCGGGUCUUUAAGUCAGGGGUGAAAUCCUGGAGCUCAACUCCAGAACUGCCUUUGAUACUGAAGAUCUUGAGUUCGGGAGAGGUGAGUGGAACUGCGAGUGUAGAGGUGAAAUUCGUAGAUAUUCGCAAGAACACCAGUGGCGAAGGCGGCUGACUGGUCCGGUUCUGACGCUGAGGCGCGAAAGCGUGGGGAGCGAACAGG
Molecule: ribosomal RNA, 253 nt
Filed under: uncultured bacterium
Lineage: Bacteria
Description: partial 16S ribosomal RNA
Rfam family: Bacterial small subunit ribosomal RNA
Source: RNAcentral